Molecule: non-coding RNA, 375 nt
Organism: Grammomys surdaster
Lineage: Eukaryota; Metazoa; Chordata; Mammalia; Rodentia; Muridae
Source: the annotation of a RefSeq genome assembly
AUGGAAGAGAGCUGCAUCUUUCUCUUCCUCCUGUCAGUAACUGCAGGUGUCCACUCCCAGGGUCAGCUGCAGCAAUCUGAAGCUGAGCUGGUCAGGCCUGGGGCUUCAUUGAAGAUGUCCUGUAAGGCUUCUGGCUACACAUUCACUGACUAUCGAAUGCACUGGGUGAAGCAGAGGCUUGGGGAGGUCCUGGAAUGGAUCGGAUCUAUUGAUCCUAGAAGUGGUUAUACUGAAUACAAAGAGAAGUUCAAGGGCAAGGUCACAUUGACUACAGACAAAUCCUCCAGCACAGCCUACAUGGAGCUCAUCAGUCUGACCUCUGAGGACUCUGCGACCUAUUACUGUACAAGACACAGUGUUGUAACCACAUCCUGA